Molecule: ribosomal RNA, 410 nt
Filed under: uncultured bacterium
Lineage: Bacteria
Description: bacterial SSU rRNA
Rfam family: Bacterial small subunit ribosomal RNA
Source: RNAcentral
UAUUGGACAAUGGGCGCAAGCCUGAUCCAGCCAUACCGCGUGGGUGAAGAAGGCCUUCGGGUUGUAAAGCCCUUUUGUUGGGAAAGAAAUCCAGCUGGCUAAUACCCGGUUGGGAUGACUGUACCCAAAGAAUAAGCACCGGCUAACUUCGUGCCAGCAGCCGCGGUAAUACGAAGGGUGCAAGCGUUACUCGGAAUUACUGGGCGUAAAGCGUGCGUAGGUGGUUAUUUAAGUCCGUUGUGAAAGCCCUGGGCUCAACCUGGGAACUGCAGUGGAUACUGGAUGACUAGAAUGUGGUAGAGGGUAGCGGAAUUCCUGGUGUAGCAGUGAAAUGCGUAGAGAUCAGGAGGAACAUCCAUGGCGAAGGCAGCUACCUGGACCAACAUUGACACUGAGGCACGAAAGCGUGG